UGGGUAACCUGCCCUUAACUCUGGGAUAAGCCUGGGAAACUGGGUCUAAUACCGGAUAUGACUCCUCAUCGCAUGGUGGGGGGUGGAAAGCUUUAUUGCGGUUUUGGAUGGACUCGCGGCCUAUCAGCUUGUUGGUGUGGGUAAUGGCCCACCAAGGCGACGACGGGUAGCCGGCCUGAGAGGGUGACCGGCCACACUGGGACUGAGACACGGCCCAGACUCCUACGGGAGGCAG
Molecule: ribosomal RNA, 235 nt
Filed under: uncultured bacterium
Lineage: Bacteria
Description: partial 16S ribosomal RNA
Rfam family: Bacterial small subunit ribosomal RNA
Source: RNAcentral